Molecule: long non-coding RNA, 557 nt
Filed under: Pan paniscus (pygmy chimpanzee)
Lineage: Eukaryota; Metazoa; Chordata; Mammalia; Primates; Hominidae
Description: lncRNA (ENSPPAG00000044200.1)
Source: RNAcentral
GGAUAGUUUUCAUAUACAUUUCUCCUCCUGCAUUUGCUUAAACUGCCAGUCUUAGAGCCUUAAAUAAGAUGCACUCAGCUGAAAAUUGUCCUUCACUGAGGAGACACGCUGUUCCUACUGAGGGAGAUAAUCCAGCAUUGUAUAUUUUUGUGCACAGAGGAAAGCAAGAUACUCAUCAGAGACUCAGCUAUUCCUCCAUUCCGAAGCAUCCCAGAGGAAUUUCUGAAGGCAGGAGGGAAUCCUGAGAGACAGAUAAGCAGAACAGAAGAAGACUUCUGUGGACAGAUUCAGGAAGAAGGAGGAUCCUUCCAGCUAUCCUGCAAGAGACUCCCCUAUGCUGCAUUGAGAAUAAUACUCAGGUUAGAGAUGCUUCGAGAUCCUCCCUGCAAAAUCUUUGCCUUGGCACUUGGCUCCCAGGGAGUCUCAUUUAUGUGUCCCACCAUAAAUCAUGGCUAGCUUAGAGACUAGAAGUGGGAACUGACCACAUCUCUACCUGCUUUCCUGGAAGAAGAUGAAACAGAGUUAUCAGCCGUGGGAGUCAAAGAGAACUAACUAAA